GACCGGCGCACGGGUGCGUAACGCGUAUGUAACCUACCGUAUAACAGGGGCAUAACACUGAGAAAUUGGUACUAAUUCCCCAUAAUAUUCGGAGAGGCAUCUCUCCGGGUUGAAAACUCCGGUGGUUAUAGAUGGACAUGCGUUGUAUUAGCUAGUUGGUGAGGUAACGGCUCACCAAGGCAACGAUACAUAGGGGGGACUGAGAGGUUAACCCCCCCACACUGGUACUGAGACACGGACCAGACUCCUACGGGAGGCAGCAUG
Molecule: ribosomal RNA, 264 nt
Filed under: uncultured bacterium
Lineage: Bacteria
Description: partial 16S ribosomal RNA
Rfam family: Bacterial small subunit ribosomal RNA
Source: RNAcentral